Long non-coding RNA from Portunus trituberculatus (swimming crab), 471 nucleotides. RefSeq lists it as uncharacterized. NCBI's taxonomy places the organism in Eukaryota, Metazoa, Arthropoda, Malacostraca, Decapoda, Portunidae. The record is from RefSeq and is a predicted model, not a curated record. The transcript is spliced from 3 exons.
GUUCUGUCUUUUCAACCUCUCUCUUUCUAUUAUUCAUUAAUUAAUCAAACUUUUUGUCCUAUCUACUCCUACGCUGAUGAUACCACCCUACAUCUUUCCACGUCCUUUCAGAGACGGCCAACCCGUCAGGAAGUCAACUGAUCACGCAGGGACGCCAAAGAACGCCUGACUCCCGAUCUUUCUAAGAUUUCUGAUUGGGGCAGAGACAAUCUAGUAGUUUUCAAUGCCUCAAAAACUCAAUUCCUCCAUCUAUCAACUCAACACAACCUUUCAGACAGACGUUGACGGGUGCGUGUAGUCGCCCAGAUCCUCUCCCUGUGGAACCAUCCCCUCAACAGUGUUCGAUCCGCCCAGCAGCAGCAACGGUCAGGAGAAGGCGGUCAUUGAAGUGUCAAGUCCCCAAGCUGGCAUGGUGUACUACUAACGCCAAAGAAGUGAGGCAAGUUUUUGGAGUGAGCGUGCAUGACAUAC